GAUGAACGCUGGCGGCGUGCCUAAUACAUGCAAGUCGAGCGGACAGACGAUGAUCUUGCUCCUCUGACGUUAGCGGCGGACGUGUGAGUAACACGUGUAUAACCUACCUAUAAGACUGAGAUAACUUCGAGAAACCGGAGCUAAUACCGGAUAAUAUAUUGAACCGCAUGGUGGAAUAGUGAAAGACGGUUUUGCUGUCACUUAUAGAUGGAUCCGCGCCGCAUUAGAUAGUUGUUAAGGUAACGGCUUACCAAGGCAACGAUGCGUAGCCGACCUGAGAGGGUGAUAGCCCACACUGGAAGUGAGACAGGCUCAAGACUCCUAAGGGAGGCAGCAGAAGCGAAUGUUCCGCAAUAGGCGAGAGCCUGACGGAGCAACGGGGAGUGAGUGAUGAAGGUCUCGGGAUCGUAAAGAUCUGUUAUUAGGGAAGAACAAAUGUGUAAGUAAAUAUGCACGUAUUGACGGUACCUAAUAAGAAAGCAACGGCUAACUACGUG
Molecule: ribosomal RNA, 497 nt
Filed under: uncultured bacterium
Lineage: Bacteria
Description: partial 16S ribosomal RNA
Rfam family: Bacterial small subunit ribosomal RNA
Source: RNAcentral